CCCAUGCCCUGCCCCAUUUCCCCCAGCCCCAUCCCUGCCUGCCCCUGGGCUGCCAGCGGGACAGGGCACUGAGAGCACUUUUAUGUAGGAAGCUGCUAUUGUUACGAGUUUUUGUUGUGAUGAUGAUGAUAAAAAGCAAGCCUCCCCCAGGAGAUGAGGUGAUGUGCUCUGCGAUGCUCCAGUGUCCCAAGUCCUCCCCCAGGUGUCUCCUGGGGGCGCAGAGGGCUUGUCCUGCUGCUGUGACUGCUCAGCAGCCCCUGGGAAACCUGCUGGGCAAUAGAGGGGACCCAGCACAGGGGAGGUGGGACAUCACCUUAUCGCAGUCCUCUCUUGCAGAUUUAAGGCCAAGAUGGGGGGUGCUGGACCUGCCCCCAGCCCCAUCCUGGCAGGAGUGGACCCGCCAGCAGGAGGCACUUGGGGGCCGUGCAGCGCCGGGCUGGGGGCAGCCGGGGCUGGUGCCUCCUCCUGGGCCCUCACGCCUCUGCCGAGGUGCUGCUGGCACAUGGGGGGCCUGGCCCUCGCUGCCCCCGUGCCCCACAGCCGGGCUCUGGCUCGGGGUGCCCCCAUGGCACCAGCUCCCCCCUCCCUGGCCUGGCUUGCUCCAUGUCCUUCCAGCUUGCGCCGUGAAUAAUUCACCACCUCUGUCCCCGUUGUUUCCUUGCAGGUAUUUAUAGCCUGUGAUCACGUCUCCUUGGAGGCAGCUUGCUUUGCCGUGGUGUAAAUUUAGCUCCCGCCGUCUCUUACAUGUCAUGCCCUCCAGUCCUUGCAGGAGCCCUUCCACGCAGCUCCUCGCCAGUGGGUGUUGGAGCCCCCAUGCUCCCCCCUCUGCUGCCACAGCCCCGUGGCUGCCCCCAUAGCUGCCUGCUGCCCACCCUGCCCCACGGGGCCGUCCUGGGGCGCAGCAGGGAGAUGCUGUGCAGUGCCGUGCUGUGCCGUGCUGUGCUGUGCCGUGCGUCCUCCUCUCGGCAGCCCGGCCCUGGACGCCAGGACAGCUCAACUCGCCCCCGGCAGCUGCACGGGGUGACUGAGCCGUUCAGCUGCUGCGGCACGGGGGACGCUUUGAAAUUCCUGGACUGCCAUCUGUGCUAUGCAAAUCCCCCAAUCUGACGGCUGCAUGUUGGACCCGCUUCCGGACCUGGCGACGGGAGCUGUUAUUAUCUUGCUCCUCCUCCCUUCCAGCACCCAGCGGCAGAUUUGGGGCAGCAGAAACAUCGCCCUUCCCCACGGGGAGAAGCCUGACGUCCUUUGGCAAAAGGCCCUUGGUCUGCCCUGGCUGGGCCACGGAGUCAGCAGGGAAUGUGUUGGCUGGGGGGCUUGAGGGGAUGGUUGUGCCACUGGGUCACCGUGAGUCCCCAGGGUGCCGGGUCUGGUGGCUCGUACCGCGGUGCCCUGCGAGCCCCUGUGCUCCCAGGCAGGAGGUGUGCAGCCAGGGCUGGGGCCGAGGGGCAGCAGGGUCAGUGCCGGGAUGGAGCCGGGCGCGGGGUUGCGUGGUUCAGCUGUGCUGUCCUCAGGUGUGCUCCGAGGGUGGGGACUGGUGGGGACUGACCUGCGCUUCACCAGGGGGACAGGAUCCAGGGCUGACGGGUGUCUCUGAGCAGUGUUCCCAGCACCGAGAAUUGGGCAGGAGGCGGGUGCAGCCACUGUAGCACCCACGGAUGUCCUGAGUACAGGGUGAGUGCUGAGCGGGUGGGUGGCACUCAGGGCUGAGCUGUUGCCACAGGACACCCUGCUCCCCCACCCCAGGGACCCUGUCCCCAGCCUGGAGCUGCAUGAACCACACACAGACACAAAAAAAACCAGAACCAAGCACUGUCCCCCCCCGCCCUUUCCUCAAUGUGGAGCUGGUGCGCAAACACCUCCAUGAGCUGUCCUGGCUUUUCCCCCAGCUCACCCUGAGAUGUAUUGGGGCGUGAGGCUGUAUCAAGGGUGCUGAGGUGGCAGCGAGGGGCCACUGUCCCCAGUGUGGCCCCCCGCUACGUGCUCUUUAACCGCCAAGCUGGUGGGACGGUGUCCCCUGGCUGGGGCUGGGACAGCAGCAGCUCCCUGGGGUGACGAGGGAAGCGGGGGGCAGGUUUGCCAGCUCUGAUCGGGGAAGGUAAUUAAUGAGCAUCCUGCGCUGCUCCCCGCUGUGCCUCCAUCCCCGGGGGACCCCUCGGCCGGCAGCGCGGGUACCGCCUGCUCCCGCCGGCGCUGGGGGCUGGGGGACUUGGCGGCACGGGGCCUCGUUAAUAUUUUAGGAGCUCUUUUGUCCACAGGGGAUGAGGAGGCUCGCUCGCAAUCGCCUUUCAUCUCCAUGAGGCCUCAGCAUGGGCUCCAGCCUCUUAUCUACCGCCGCCUUGCCGCUUCGCUACAGCCAGAUUGAUACGGGGCUUGGGCUCUUUUUUUUUUUCUGGGCAGGGCUGGAAAAAAAGCCUGGAUGCUCCUGGCCAAAGGGCACCCGCAGCGGUGGCAGCUGCCGCAGCAUCCCUGCCUGCCCCUGCCUGCACCCCUCCAGGCAGGGCUCUGCCAGGGGCUGGACAUGCCCCCUGCAGCCCCGGGGAGGGCUCAGAGGUGGCUGCAGCGUCUGGACAUGCGUGUCCCCCCGUGGUGGCAGGGAGAGGGGAUUUGGGACGCAUGUGCAGUGCCUGCGGGGUCCCUGACCACAACUGAACUGGGGUGGGAUGCACUGGGGGCGGCUGCGUCCCCAGGGCUCUGCCAAUGGGUGCACUGAAACAGUGUCAUCCAGGGGGUGUCCAACGUGGCCGUGAAACACCAGCCCUGGCUGGGAAGGGGCAGAGCCGGGGCACAGCGGGGUUGGUGCGAGGAGGAAGAGGGUGAUGAAGGAGCAAGUGGCUGGAGGGCGAAAGUGGGGGCUGAGCUGCACUUCUGCUCCCCACAACCUGGAGAUCACAACCAAAGCUGGGAGAGCAGAGGGUGCCCUGGGAACAGGUCUGGCUCAGCUCUGGGGCUUUUCCCAGUCAUGCCCCAUGGAUGGUCCUCCCUUGGUCCUCUCUCGGUCCUAUCGCUUGCUCGGCCGGUGCCGGGCUGUCCCCAGCUCCCACACUCAUGGGCUUGGCCCUUCUUGUCUCCCGCAGCAGCAUUGCUCAUGGUGCCUUUUCCUCAGUGCUUGUCCCAGAUCAGCAAGUGGUGUGGGCUGUGCUGGGUCCUUGCUUGGGGUCCCUGGGGGCUCUCCAAGUCACCCACACCCAUGCACGGGCUCUGCUGUUUUCAGUGUUGCAUUUCUCUUCCUGGCUCUGUCCAUUGUCCAUCCCUUGUGUCACUGAGGAACAAUGGAGCAGGAGUCACCUUGCCCUGGGAAAAACCCAACCCACAUGCCUGGCCAAGUUCAACUGUGGGGGACGGCCUUGGCAAGAACAAGAUGUAGCUGCCCAUGUGUCUGUCCCACCAGAGCCAAACCCAUCUGUCCGUCCCUUUGCACAAGCAAGAACUUGGGUGCUGGGAGGAGAUCGUGCUGAUGGACUUCAGGGGAGUUUGCUGGCUGUGUCCUGCCAGUGCUGAUGGCUUCUUCCCAUGGGAAAAAUCCUCCUCCAUCUCCUUCACCCAGGGAUGCACACCAGGGGUCAGAGCUCCUCCAUCCCGCAGCGGUGGGGAACAUGCUGUCCCCAGGGAUCCGAGCAUCCCUCCUGCCGCUGCCGCGCUGCCGGCUCGCCCCAGCUGGCAGGCCCGGCUUGGGGACCGGGGGAUGGCUGGCGCCUGCGCUCAGCAAGGCGGUGAGCUCACGGGUUUAAUUUUCUCAAGGCUUCGUUUGGCUCUGACAUGUGAUCCUCGUUACAGGAAGGACGCGGCAAACGCGAUGUCCCCUGGGGCUGGCUGGCUCGACCUUGUGGGAAGAGGUAAGAGCACAUCAUAGCUUUUCCGCCCCACUGGUGUUGCUUCCAACAGCAAUUUAAUAUCUCCCUGAUAACCCAGGCUGAGUUUCAGGCACUGUUAGGAAAAAAAGCAACAAAGAGGCAUCCGCUGACAAGUACGUGUCCUCAGCUGAGGUCCCCGGGUGUGGGUGUGUGUGGCUGGCCCUGCACCGUGGCCCGUGCUGCCCAUCACCAGCCCCAGGCCUGUUCUUGUCCCCUGGCAGGGAGCAGGUUCCCUGGCCAGGGAUGUGAUGCCCUCCUGGAGUGGCAAGUGGGGGCCAUCACCUGCCGUGCUUGGUGGAUGGGGAAUGGCCACUGGCCCCAUCUAGGACAAGGUGGGAGCUGUCACAGCUCCAGCCCACCCCGUGGCAAAGCUGCCGCCACACCCCAGCAUCCUGACCCCGUAUGAUCCCACCCGGCUCCCACCCCGGGGCAGCUGCUGGUGGGGGGCUGGGAUGCUCCUGUGGGCUUUGCCCAGCCCCGGGGCAAGUGCUGGCUGCACCGGUGCUCCUGCACAGGCAGUGAGGAUGGGACUCACCUUUGGGUGCAGCGGGGAUGGGACUCGCCUUUGGGCGCAGCAGGAUUUGGGACGGGCUCAGCUCGCAUACACAGCCCUCUGAGCUCUGCUCUCCAGGCUGGUCUGGCCAGACACAGCUCUCCAGGUCCAGGUCUCUGACCAUGGCUCCCCAGACUCGGCUCUCGGAGCUCAGUUCUCCAGACUCUGUUUCCCAGGCUCCUUUCCUUGGAUUCAGUUCCCUCUGCCCACCUCUGUGGGCUCUCCGGGCUCCGUGCCUUGGGCAUGGCUCUCCAGGCUUUUCAGGCAUGGCUGGAGGUCGCUCUCCAUACUCGACUCCCCGGGUACCCCUUUUGGAGGUGUCUCCCCAGGCUCGGUGCCUCCGUGGUGGUUUCCCAGCAGCUCCUGAUCUGGGCUCCCCAGCCAACCAGGUGCCAGCAGAGGGCCUCCCUUACCAAACAGAGCGUUGCGCCGCCACCAAAUUAUAAAACACAUUAUCUAUUUUGCGAAACUUUGUGCGAGUACCAGGAAAUGGGCUGGAGUUUAUUCUCCUCCAGAAGACCGGAGACAACGUGUUCCCCCCUGCUUCUUUUUUUGAUGCCGGCACUCGACAUGCAUUAAAGCCGCGGGAGUGUUCAUCAUUAAAAUGGCAAUUGUGAAGCGAGGCAAUAAAUUUAACAUCAUAAAAGGCACUGGGAGGGUCUCGUUCAUCUGUUGCUCUUCAAAGGAAAGUGUUAGUUGCUUCCAAAAUAAAAUAAUUGGGAAGAAGCAGGUGAGAGGGAAACGGGUGGCAGCGUCCCCGCCUGCCGGGGUGCUGCACGGAGCCAACGUGGGGCUUUGGCCGGGAGACGUGACCCUUGGGGCUGCACGUCUGGGGCUGCUGGCGGGGGAGCGCUGAGGCUGUGGCUCUGCAGGUGUUGGGGACAUGUGGCUGCAUCUCUCGGGGUCUGCGCGUUGCGGGGGGACAAGCAGAGGAGCGAGGGUGUUGUGAACAUCCCCCCUUCUGUGGGUGCGAUGGCCCUGUCCCCAACCCAGCCGGGGUGAGGGGGACAGGGAAACCCAUCAGCCAGGGUGGCAAUGGGGAGGGACCCCAGCUCUGCCCUCAGUGGCUGCGGGGCCAGGGGAUCCCCCGGGAUUGGGGCUGCUCUGUGCUGGGAGCACCCGGCUCCCACCGCCGCCCCGCCGAUGGCCAUCGCCCCACGCCAGCCCCGCGGUGGCGUCUGCCGGCAGAAUGAGCCGUCGUAUGGGAACCGUUUGCUAAAUAAUUCAGGAGAUUUCUUUUUUCCUUUUUUCUUUUUUUUUUUUUUUUUGUUGAGAAAGCCGGUUUGCUUGCUUUUUUUUCCUUUAAGGUCGUAGUAUUUUCCAAGCUGGGUUUCGAGCGGGGGGGCGCGGACACGCUCAGGCAAUACCGCCAUGUGUUUACAGCUCCGCUCCCGGCGUUAUUUAGGGAUUGUAAAACCACAGCGGCUCACUCGCUCCCCCUCGCUCGCCGCAGCCAAUUUUUUUCCUCCAUGUGGCUCUCGCUGCAGCGGCAAAGUAUGCCGUGGGUUUUGAGGUGCCUCUGAGCACCCCAAGAGCUCCCCAUGUGCCGAAUCUGCCGGCUGAGCCACAGUCCCCCUGGUGCCUGCAGGAUGGCGUUUCGGCAUCAUCCUAGGACAGCAACCCUCCCAUCUCAGCGGGGUUUCUGAGCACCAAUGUGAACAUCCACCAUCACCAGUUCUCCUCAGCAGUGUGCUGACGCCCUGAUCGCCUCUUCGUUACUGCUGCUGGGAAGAAACCCUCACCCUUUUUCUCGUUCCCAUGGCCCGGGAGAUUCCUGCAUCCCUUGGCUUCCCUCAACAACUUCCAGCUCCCGCAGACUUCUUUACCUCCCUCAUCACCCGAUACUGGCCUCCAGAUCCGUGAGAAACAGGGUGACAGUCCACGCGUGGGGGCUGGAGGAAGGAUGGAUGAACAGACACCACCGAGUUUGUGCAGCUGGUGAGGAGCAGAUCUGCCGUGGCUUGGCAUGGUGCUCAGCCCGGCUGCCCGCUGGCCAUCCCUGCCAGCUCCAGCAACGGACGUGAUGCCACCUCUUGCACCGGUUGUUUCCCUGACUGAAGAUGAUGGCUAAAGACAGACUCCUCCAUUGGCCCAUGAAUGCCCAUACCCACGGGGACGGGAGCACUCAUGAAGAAGCACAGCCAGCUCUCUGGUGACCACCAGAGCUCAGCUCUUCCCAAGGAUCAGCUCUCUGGCUGCCUCAGGAGCAAAGACAGAUGCCCAGAGAAGCCUGGGUGCUCCUCACUAUGGUGGUCAACAGCUGGAGCUGGGCCUACAGCGGUCCAGGGGCUUGCAUUUUGUGUUGAGAAGACAUCCAACACCGAGAACACAUCCAGCAUACCUGGGACAUGGACAGAGUGCCACUACAAGAUGAACACUCAGCGAUACCUUCAUGUCUUUAGAGUUGCCAGCUUGGGUCCUGGAGUGUGUCACCACAUCUGCCUUGCUUCGAGGAGCACAAGGAGCAGGAACCUGCCACCUCUCACCGGUGGCUUCUGCACACAGAAGAGCUGGUCCCCUGGGGCAGCUGUUCCCAAGAGCCACUGAAAUGCUGUGAGUGGGGUCAAGACGUGGGCAACUACGUGUCAGGGUGGCAUCUCCUGGAGCCAGUGGCCGAUGGAGGGUGGACUGAGAGUGAACUGUGAGCUGGGCUUGACCAAAAGGGGUCAUUUCAAUGAGGUGCAGGGAAAAUCAAGCCUUAUGACCACAGGAGGCAGUGGGAGAGGGUUGCGGAGGAGCAGCAAGGGAGGGGGUGGCACCCUGAGAGGAGGAGCCUGUGCUGGUGGGAGGUUGGAGUGGUGAAGGUGCCGCAAGGUGUGUUUAAUUCCCUGGGUGGCUUCAACGAAGGACGCCCUAGCAGCACGGCACAGUUUCGCCCAGCUGCGCUUGUCUGCAAUACAGCCACCCCUGCUUCCCCAAAAUACUUGGGAGGGCUGGAGUAGGCCAACUCCACCACCCUCAUCGAUGCUGCAGGGAGCCUAUUUUAAGCCUUGCUAACGUAGGAGGAUUAAAUUUGGCUGGCUGAGACACGUCCUGCUCCCAGCUGUCCCCCAGCCUCCCCUGAGGUUGGCAGCUCUGCUGCAGGCUCGGCUCAUGAUGCAGGAGGCUGCCCUGCACCCCCGGGGUCGGCCGCCCUGCCAAGGGGAGCCCAAAUCUGGGGCAUCUUCUUGGCUGCAGAGGCACCCGGCACAAGUUGAUGGUAAAAACUCUUCCAGGCAUUGGCAUCAAUGGGUUGACCGGUGGGAAGCGAUAGGGGAUCAACCCCGGUGAUACAGAUGGGUCUGAAGUGUGCAGAGGUCUUCAGCACCAUGGUCCCCUCUACAGGGCCCUUACUGGGGGAGCGGGGUGAUGGGGGAGUCCAGGCCUUCCCCUGCUGGGGCAAGGGCAGAGAAACACCCCUGGGGAUGCCUGCCCCUGCCUGUCCUGCCUGCCCCUCUCCUUCCUGUUCCUGCCUGUCCUGCCUGCCAAGGAUGCAGGUGCCCGGGCAGCCCUGCCGAGACCAGCUUGGUGACCCAGCCCCACAGGCAUUGGGCUCUCCGCAGAGUGCAGGUCCUCUUGCUUGCCCUCGCUCCCCCAGCCCCCGCAUACACUCUGCGUUCCUGGUCAAGCGUGUUGUUUUAUUAAUUUAUGGAGUGCUUGUUGCUGGAGGCCUUGCAGAAGAGCCUCAUGGAAAAUUGCAUUUUGCCUGCGCAGAUUUAUCUGCCCGCGCCUGCCGUGUGUAUUUAAGGGAGCGUCACACCCAGCCCAGCCGUCACUGGCUGCGUUACCAAACGCCGUCUGGAGCCUGGGCAGCGAGGGACAAAUGUUCGGCCGGAGGAAAUGAGGCAAGUGGCGGAGGGGAGAGCGCUGAUUUACACGUGGCGGGGCAGACCACCGCCUCCUCCCCAGCACCGCACCGGCCUCCGCCGCUGGUUCCUGCUGCCACGGGGAAUGUCACUCGAUGGCUCUUCCUCCGUUUGUUCAUUUGGAAGAUGGGGGGUAAUAAUACCCGUCACCUAUUCGCGAGGCUGUUGUGAAUUUUCAUGAGCUACCAUCUGAACGGGGCUUUGAGCAGGAAAACUGCUGUAUCAGCUCUAGGCAAUGAUAAACAAUACUCAGCAUUUACAUAUUCAAAGCACUUUGAUUAACUCUUGGGGUUUUAAGGACUUGAGUCGAUUCCCACCCGAGUGCAAUAGCAGCUGGACGGGGUGAGCUGGGGGAGAGCUGGGGCUUCACCCCCCGGCCAGGGCCAGGGGAACCCCCACCACAGUCGCACAAAGCACCUCCUGCCUGAAAUCCCUGCAUGAUAAAGGAAAAACAAAUAAGGCUCAUCCAGGCUUGCGGAAGGGGUGAGAUCCCGCAAUGCGAAGCGGGAAGCAGGCGCAGAGUGAGGAGUUUCGUCAGUUUUGCUGCAAAAGCUGUAACCAGGUGUUAAAUAGCUGUGAAAUUCUAACUUGAUUCAUGCAGGAGUUGCCAAAUAGAUUUUACUUUUCCUUCUUUAAAAAACAAAUUAGAGAAAGACGGGCCUAUGCUUUCCCUGAGGCAAAGCGCUGCAGAUACCGUGUGGCCUCCUCCCCAGCUCAGCUGCUAAUGCCACAGGGGCAAAAAGCGAAGGAGACCAAAGCCAGGAAAAUGAUUUAUCAUUUUACUCAGCAGAUUUUUAUUCUUUCUUACCAAGUCUUUUCAGUCCUCUGAUUUUAAAUACCACCCCUCCCAGUCCAGCGGAUGAUCAGUCUCCCCCGGGGUGCUUGCUGCAAGAGGAUCCUUCAGCAUUAUUAUUAAAAUCACUGCCAAACA
Long non-coding RNA from Columba livia (rock pigeon), 9180 nucleotides. RefSeq lists it as uncharacterized. The transcript has 3 exons. The record is from RefSeq and is a predicted model, not a curated record. Lineage: Eukaryota; Metazoa; Chordata; Aves; Columbiformes; Columbidae.